CAAAUUUGAAAUCUGGCUCUUUUAGAGUCCGAGUUGUAAUUUGCAGAGGGCGCUUUGGCUUUGGCAGCGGUCCAAGUUCCUUGGAACAGGACGUCACAGAGGGUGAGAAUCCCGUACGUGGUCGCUGGCUAUUGCCGUGUAAAGCCCCUUCGACGAGUCGAGUUGUUUGGGAAUGCAGCUCUAAAUGGGAGGUACAUUUCUUCUAAAGCUAAAUAUUGGCCAGAGACCGAUAGCGCACAAGUAGAGUGAUCGAAAGAUGAAAAGCACUUUGGAAAGAGAGUCAAACAGCACGUGAAAUUGUUGAAAGGGAAGCGCUUGCAGCCAGACUUGCUUACAGUUGCUCAUCCGGGUUUCUACCCGGUGCACUCUUCUGUAGGCAG
RNAcentral lists this ribosomal RNA (380 nucleotides) under Alternaria alternata. RNAcentral describes it as "eukaryotic LSU rRNA". It matches the Rfam family "Eukaryotic large subunit ribosomal RNA", at positions 110 to 494 of the family's 3401-position model. Lineage: Eukaryota; Fungi; Ascomycota; Dothideomycetes; Pleosporales; Pleosporaceae. The record is from RNAcentral.